This 368-nucleotide RNase P RNA is filed under the name Prevotella sp. kh1p2. Its description in RNAcentral is "Bacterial RNase P class A". It matches the Rfam family "Bacterial RNase P class A". From Rfam's summary of the family: Ribonuclease P (RNase P) is a ubiquitous endoribonuclease, found in archaea, bacteria and eukarya as well as chloroplasts and mitochondria. Its best characterised activity is the generation of mature 5'-ends of tRNAs by cleaving the 5'-leader elements of precursor-tRNAs. Cellular RNase Ps are ribonucleoproteins. RNAcentral also lists the same sequence under 1 other name. Lineage: Bacteria; Pseudomonadati; Bacteroidota; Bacteroidia; Bacteroidales; Prevotellaceae. The record is from RNAcentral.
ACAGUGUCCCGGCCCUAUCGCUGGCAUCUGAUGGAUGCGAGAGGAAAGUCCGGGCAGCGCAGAGCACUCCACUUCCGAAAGUAGAAGCUAUUGGUAACAGUAGGUGUAGGCAGAAGAGAAUGACCGCCUGGUAAACAGGCAAGGGUGAGAAGGUGGUGUAAGAGACCACCGGCUGAUGGGUGACUAUCAGGCCGUGCCGCUGGAGGCUGCAAGUUCAUGUAAACCGUCGUUUGAGGGCUGCUCGUCCGAUGUUCCUGUGAACAACGACGGAGGGUAGAAUGCUGGAGCUGUGGGGUGACUCACAGCGUAGAUAAAUGACAGGGCUCCCGCAAGGGAAACAGAACCCGGCUUACGAGGACACUGUUUUC